Delphinapterus leucas (beluga whale) is the source of this 380-nucleotide non-coding RNA. Lineage: Eukaryota; Metazoa; Chordata; Mammalia; Artiodactyla; Monodontidae. The record is from RefSeq and is a predicted model, not a curated record.
AAGUCCCCAGGAAAGUCUUCUAUGUAUCAAAAACACGUUGAAAUAUUAGAACUUCAAGAAAGCAACAGACUUCUCACCUUUCAGGGACUAGGAAGUGUGCAUUGAAUCAUGUGAUUGGAGAGCAGAGCAGAUGAGAUAGUAUUUUUACAAAGAUGACUAUUGGAUGAGAUCUGACGUGUUACCAGAGCCAGCAGGAUGGGCUGGAAAAAGUCAUGGGAGGCCACAAGGAAUCAAAGCCUCAAACAAUGUAGCUGAAGGAAGACGGAUCAGCUCACAUAACCAGGAAGCAGGCAUUAUAGAGGCAGUGCGUGCCCCAAGCAGCGAGAGUGGCCCCGCCAGCUCCUUCCCGGGAAUGACACUCAGCAUCUCAGCAUCAGGCC